RNAcentral lists this small RNA (27 nucleotides) under Bombyx mori (domestic silkworm). RNAcentral's name for it is "ovarian small RNA-4923". The record is from RNAcentral. Lineage: Eukaryota; Metazoa; Arthropoda; Insecta; Lepidoptera; Bombycidae.
CGUUCAAAGAAUCGUCCGUGGUUGCGC